GACGAACGCUGGCGGCGUGCUUAACACAUGCAAGUCGAACGAUGAAGCCGGAGCUUGCUCUGGUGAAUUAGUGGCGAACGGGUGAGUAACACGUGAGUAACCUGCCCUUGACUCUGGGAUAACUGCUAGAAAUGGUAGCUAAUACCGGAUACGACCCUCGGAGGCAUCUCCAGGGGGUGGAAAGAAUUUCGGUCAAGGAUGGACUCGCGGCCUAGCAGCUAGUUGGUGAGGUAAUGGCUCACCAAGGCGACGACGGGUAGCCGGCCUGAGAGGGUGACCGGCCAAACUGGGACUGAGACACGGCCCAGACUCCUACGGGAGGCAGCAGUGGGGAAUAUUGCACAAUGGGCGCAAGCCUGAUGCAGCAACGCCGCGUGAGGGAUGACGGCCUUCGGGUUGUAAACCUCUUUUAGUAGGGAAGAAGCGAAAGUGACGGUACCUGCAGAAAAAGCACCGGCUAACUACGUGCCAGCCGCCGCCGUAA
Molecule: ribosomal RNA, 484 nt
Filed under: uncultured bacterium
Lineage: Bacteria
Description: partial 16S ribosomal RNA
Rfam family: Bacterial small subunit ribosomal RNA
Source: RNAcentral